ACAUGCAUGAAACAUUAAAUACAGACGAAAACAAAAACUAAUUGCACAAUUUGUCUGUAAAUCGUGAGAUGAAUCUUUUGAGCUUAAUUAAUCCAUGAUUAGAUAAUAAUUACCAAAUAAAUACAAAAUUGCUACAGUACCCAAAACCAAAAAAAUCAUAACUAAACAAGGCCUGAAACUUGCUUACGUUAUUAUAUUGGUCCUGCUAAUGUCUGCACGUCCGAUCCGCACACUAAAUUUUCAUACUGCAUCUCACUCCUUCAGCAAUGGAUCGCGCCCCCGCCCACCUCACGCGGAGAAGAAAGUAGAGAACUAGAGAUCGAAAUUGCCCUUCCUAUGCUCUCGUCUCCCUGCACAUAGAACCCGCUCGCCCCAACCUCACCUCGAACGGAUCAAAUAGAGUAAGUUUCCCAUUCGCCCCAACACACUCUCAUCAAAAAAAUUGCAACAUCAAACAAACACACAAAAAUAAGGUGAAACAACAAAACAAGAGUGAUUGCAACGAAACUAGAUGCAACAUCGUAAAAAUAUGCAACAAAGAAAAAAACUUGUUGCUCCAAUUAACCAAAGCUACUGCAACAACAGAAACAAAAGCAUAAAUACUAAAUGCAAACAUCUUAUUGCAACGAAGAAAAACUGCUUGUUGCAACAACAAACCAAAUCUACUACAACAACGGAAAACAAAAGGACAGUGCGAGAUGCAACAACAGCGAAAAAACUAAUACAAGAAAAAAAGACUACUUGUUGCAAUGGUGAAAACAACACUACUACAAUAAUAAAAAUAAAAAAUGCAAUGCGAGAUGCAUCAUAAAAAAGGUCUAAUGCAACAAAGAAAUGUUGCUUGUUGCAAGAGCAAAAAUGACGCUAUUGCAAUAACGCAAACAACAACUCAAUGCGAGAUGCAACGUUAGAAAAAAGACUAAUGCAACAAAGAAAUAAUACCUGUUGCAAUAGCAAAAUAAAGCCUACUGCAAAUAGAGCUCGCCGAAACCUAGCCACCAUCAAGUCCCUCAGAUCUAGAUCUAGAUUCAGAGGAGUAGGAGAAAGAGAGAUCACAUCUAGAGGAGGAAGAAGAAAAAGAUCAGAUCCAAAGGAGGACCCACCUACCUUGUCGGAAAGCCAUUGCGCUUCUCUCUC
This 1137-nucleotide long non-coding RNA is filed under the name Sorghum bicolor (sorghum). Its description in RNAcentral is "long non-coding RNA (SBIC_LNC000216)". The record is from RNAcentral. Lineage: Eukaryota; Viridiplantae; Streptophyta; Magnoliopsida; Poales; Poaceae.